RNAcentral lists this non-coding RNA (226 nucleotides) under Clostridiales bacterium. Its description in RNAcentral is "6S RNA". It matches the Rfam family "6S / SsrS RNA". From Rfam's summary of the family: E. coli 6S RNA was the first non coding RNA to be sequenced, but its function was unknown until recently. It consists of 184 nucleotides that fold into an extended hairpin structure with a large single-stranded internal bulge. Lineage: Bacteria; Bacillati; Bacillota; Clostridia; Eubacteriales. The record is from RNAcentral.
AAACUCCUGCGUUGUUCGUUACGCGGUAUUCAUUUAAACCCACAAUAAAUGAAAGGGAAUGCGGGUCUAUCCGACGCGGCGCAUGCCGGCUCCUGAAAUAACGGUUAAUCGGCGUUCAGACAUUUUCUCCGAACGCCCUGCCGGAAGCCGAAGCGUCAUAGCAGCACAACCAUCCUGCUUAACGGCGGGUUACUAAUGUAUCGCGGACGGCAAAUGCGGGAUUUUU